UUGAACGCUGGCGGCAUGCUUUACACAUGCAAGUCGAACGGCAGCGGGGGCUUCGGCCUGCCGGCGAGUGGCGAACGGGUGAGUAAUGCAUCGGAACGUGCCCAGUCAUGGGGGAUAACUACGCGAAAGCGUAGCUAAUACCGCAUACGCCCUGAGGGGGAAAGCGGGGGAUCGCAAGACCUCGCGCGACAGGAGCGGCCGAUAUCGGAUUAGCUAGUUGGUGAGGUAAAGGCUCACCAAGGCGACGAUCCGUAGCUGGUCUGAGAGGACGACCAGCCACACUGGAACUGAGACACGGCCCAGACUCCUACGGGAGGCAGCAGUGGGGAAUUUUGGACAAUGGGCGAAAGCCCGAUCCAGCAAUGCCGCGUGCAGGAAGAAGGCCUUCGGGUUGUAAACUGCUUUUGUACGGAGCGAAAAGGCUCUCUCUAAUACAGGGGGCUCAUGACGGUACCGUAAGAAUAAGCACCGGCUAACUACGU
Molecule: ribosomal RNA, 482 nt
Filed under: uncultured bacterium
Lineage: Bacteria
Description: bacterial SSU rRNA
Rfam family: Bacterial small subunit ribosomal RNA
Source: RNAcentral